CAGAGUACCGGUGCCUUCGGGCGCCUACUCCCACCCUUUGUGAACUUAAUUCUGUUGCUUUGGCGGGCCAGGUGCCCAGGCGCCGCCGGCCUUUUGGCUGGAGAGCGUCCGCCAGAGGACCAUUCAAACACUGCUCACGGUGGCAUCUGAGUGAAACGAAAAUGAAUCA
Molecule: unclassified non-coding RNA, 169 nt
Filed under: uncultured Xylariales
Lineage: Eukaryota; Fungi; Ascomycota; Sordariomycetes; Xylariales
Description: sequence contains ITS1
Source: RNAcentral